AAGGGAGACCUAAUUCCGGUAGGAGACGAAAAAAAAAGUAGUCCCAACCAAGAAUCAAUCCCAAAAGGUCGGAACGAGGUAUGAGGCUUUCAAACUAGGUUCUGGGUUCAUAAAAGACCUGAAUCAGGAACAAGGGCUAUUAGCUCAGGUGGUUAGAGCGCACCCCUGAUAAGGGUGAGGUCCCUGGUUCGAGUCCAGGAUGGCCCACCUGCACAGGUGGCAAAAACAAGAGAAGCUCCGAAUCAGCACCUUAUCUUAUAUACAUAUAUAAGAGAGAAUGCUGGCUCUGAGUACAGAGUCCAGAGGAACCUUGAAAACUGCAUAGAGCUAGGUGAAAAAGCCAAAAAAGAAGACCGCAA
This 359-nucleotide transfer RNA is filed under the name uncultured Microcystis sp. RNAcentral describes it as "partial 16S-23S ribosomal RNA intergenic spacer". The stretch from base 134 to 207 matches the Rfam family "tRNA". The record is from RNAcentral. Lineage: Bacteria; Bacillati; Cyanobacteriota; Cyanophyceae; Chroococcales; Microcystaceae.